RNAcentral lists this ribosomal RNA (1953 nucleotides) under gut metagenome. Its description in RNAcentral is "bacterial LSU rRNA". It matches the Rfam family "Bacterial large subunit ribosomal RNA", at positions 1 to 2008 of the family's 2925-position model. The record is from RNAcentral.
ACAAGCGAACAAGUGCACAUGGUGGAUGCCUUGGCGAUUACAGGCGAAGAAGGACGUGGAAGCCUGCGAAAAGCCACGGGGAGUCGGCAAACAGACCUUGAUCCGUGGAUGUCCGAAUGGGGAAACCCGGUGCGUAAGCAUCACCCCGCGCUGAACACAUAGGCGUGAGGGGGCGAACCCGGCGAACUGAAACAUCUAAGUAGCCGGAGGAAAAGAAAUCAACCGAGAUGCCCGGAGUAGCGGCGAGCGGAACGGGCGCAGCCAGCAGGAGAUAGUGGAGCGAGACAGGAGAACAUCCUGGAAAGGAUGGCGGCACAGGGUGACAGCCCCGUAUCCGAAGUCCGCUCUACAGGACCAGGCCUGCGGGAAGUAGGGCGGGACACGAGGAAUCCUGCCUGAAGAUGGGGGGACCAUCCUCCAAGGCUAAAUACUCGUAAUCGACCGAUAGUGGACCAGUACCGUGAGGGAAAGGCGAAAAGAACCCCGGGAGGGGAGUGAAACAGAACCUGAAACCGUGUGCAUACAAACAGUGGGAGCCCUGCGGGGUGACCGCGUACCUUUUGUAUAAUGGGUCAGCGACUUACAUUCAGUGGCGAGGUUAACCGCAUAGGGGAGCCGGAGGGAAACCGAGUCCGAACAGGGCGCCAGUCGCUGGGUGUAGACCCGAAACCAGGUGAUCUAUCCAUGGCCAGGAUGAAGGUGCGGUAACACGCACUGGAGGUCCCAACCCACCGGCGUUGAAAAGCCGGGGGAUGAGCUGUGGAUAGGGGUGAAAGGCUAAACAAACCUGGAGAUAGCUGGUUCUCUCCGAAAGCUAUUUAGGUAGCGCCUCGCGCAUGACCGCCAGGGGUAGAGCACUGUUAUGGCUAGGGGGCCACCGCGGCUUACCAAACCAUUGCAAACUCCGAAUACUGGCGAGUCCGAGCGCGGGAGACAGUCACCGGGUGCUAACGUCCGGCGACAAGAGGGAAACAACCCAGACCGCCAGCUAAGGUCCCCAAGGCCGGCUAAGUGGAAAACGAAGUGGGAAGGCCAAGACAGUCAGGAGGUUGGCUUAGAAGCAGCCAUCCUUCAAAGAAAGCGUAAUAGCUCACUGAUCGAGUCGUCCUGCGCGGAAGAUGUAACGGGGCUAAGCCGGCCACCGAAGCUGCGGAUAUCAGAAAUGAUAUGGUAGGAGAGCGUUCCGUAAGCCUGCGAAGGUGCACCGUGAGGUGUGCUGGAGGUAUCGGAAGUGCGGAUGCUGACAUGAGUAGCGAUAAUGGGGGUGAAAGGCCCCCACGCCGAAAGCCCAAGGUUUCCUGUCCAACGUUCAUCGGGGCAGGGUGAGUCGGCCCCUAAGGCAAGGCAGAGAUGCGUAGCUGAUGGGAAGCGGGUCAAGAUUCCCGCACCGCCGCUGGAUGCGACGGGGGGACGGAUUGCGGAAGGCAGGCCGGGUGUUGGAAGUCCCGGUUGCCCGUCUGAAGGAGGACGCCAGGCAAAUCCGGCGUCAUGAUCCAAGGGACGGGGACGAGGAACCCACGGGUUCCGGAGCUGUCGGAAGGAGUCCCAGGAAAAGCCCCUAAGCUUCAGUCCAGAGGUGACCGUACCGCAGACCGACACAGGUGGGCGAGAUGAGUAUUCUAAGGCGCUUGGGAGAACACGGGAGAAGGAACUCGGCAAAAUGGUACCGUAACUUCGGGAGAAGGUACGCCCCUGUAGCGUGGAGCGCCUGCGCGCCGAGCGCGAGGGGGCCGCAGUGAAACGGUGGCUGCGACUGUUUAAUAAAAACACAGCACUCUGCAAACAUGAAAGUGGACGUAUAGGGUGUGACGCCUGCCCGGUGCCGGAAGAUUAAACGAUGGUGUGAGAGCGCCUGACUGAAGUCCCGGUAAACGGCGGCCGUAACUAUAACGGUCCUAAGGUAGCGAAAUUCCUUGUCGGGUAAGUUCCGACCUGCACGAAUGGCGUAACGAU